This 478-nucleotide ribosomal RNA is filed under the name uncultured bacterium. RNAcentral describes it as "partial 16S ribosomal RNA". It matches the Rfam family "Bacterial small subunit ribosomal RNA", at positions 28 to 523 of the family's 1533-position model. The record is from RNAcentral.
GACGAACGCUGGCGGCGUGCUUAACACAUGCAAGUCGAACGGUAAGGCCCUUCGGGGUACACGAGUGGCGAACGGGUGAGUAACACGUGGGUGAUCUGCCCUGCACUUCGGGAUAAGCCUGGGAAACUGGGUCUAAUACCGGAUAGGACCACUGCCUGCAUGGGUGGUGGUGGAAAGCUUUUGCGGUGUGGGAUGGGCCCGCGGCCUAUCAGCUUGUUGGUGGGGUGAUGGCCGACCAAGGCGACGACGGGUAGCCGGCCUGAGAGGGUGACCGGCCACGCUGGGACUGGGAUACGGCCCGGACUCAGACGGGAGGAAGCAGUGGGGAAUAUUGCACAAUGGGCGCAAGAGUGAUGCAGCGACGCCGCGUGAGGGAUGACGGCCUUCGGGUUGGAAACCUCUUUCAGCACCGACGAAGCGCAAGUGACGGUAGGUGCAGAAGAAGGGCCGGCCAACUACGUGCCAGCCGCCGCCGUAA